UACGAAGGGGGCUAGCGUUGUUCGGAAUUACUGGGCGUAAAGCGCGCGCAGGCGGUUCUACAAGUCAGUGGUGAAAGCCCGGAGCUCAACUCCGGAACUGCCAUUGAAACUGCAGAACUUGAGGAUGAGAGAGGUGAGUGGAAUUCCCAGUGUAGAGGUGAAAUUCGUAGAUAUUGGGAAGAACACCGGUGGCGAAGGCGGCUCACUGGCUCAUUUCUGACGCUCAGGCGCGACAGCGUGGGGAUCAAACAGG
RNAcentral lists this ribosomal RNA (253 nucleotides) under uncultured bacterium. RNAcentral's name for it is "partial 16S ribosomal RNA". It matches the Rfam family "Bacterial small subunit ribosomal RNA", at positions 524 to 776 of the family's 1533-position model. The record is from RNAcentral.